Molecule: ribosomal RNA, 253 nt
Filed under: uncultured bacterium
Lineage: Bacteria
Description: partial 16S ribosomal RNA
Rfam family: Bacterial small subunit ribosomal RNA
Source: RNAcentral
UACGUAGGUGGCAAGCGUUGUCCGGAAUUAUUGGGCGUAAAGCGCACAUAGGCGGACUCUUAAGUCGGUGGUGAAAUCCUGGAGCUCAACUCCAGAACUGCCUUCGAUACUGAGAGUCUCGAGUCCGGGAUAGGUGAGUGGAACUGCGAGUGUAGAGGUGAAAUUCGUAGAUAUUCGCAAGAACACCAGUGGCGAAGGCGGCUCACUGGCCCGGUACUGACGCUGAGGUGCGAAAGCGUGGGGAGCAAACAGG